AAGUAGGACCCACAUUUGUCCAGUCACUAGCCUAAGUGGAAUGACACCAAAUUGCUGACUAUGAAAAAACUAAAUCUGACUUGGCAAACUCUACGGAUUCACAUUAUUGUCCUAAUUUCUCUCCACCAAAUCUUUAUGCUUCUCUUCUUCACCAGCAAAAUUUUCCUCUCCUUCACCAACAACUGCUGAAUCUCUACACUCCACAUAUAAAAUCAUCGCCAAAACUUGCAUUUUCAGCCACAAAAUCUAUAUUUUAAAUAGCUAGGUGAUGAAUGGGAAAUCCAAUUUGUUCUUUCUUCUCUUCUUCAAUGAAUUAAUGUUUUUGUAUCGCUUCUUUACCAUUUUUCUAGUUCUUUUCGCUUUGAAUAAUCAUUGUUGUCCUUUCUAUUCUCUUAGAGAUGUGAUUGCCCGUAUUAUUCAAACCCAUUUUGGUGCAUUUUUCGUUUGUAGAUCAAGAAGCCUAAAUCAGCUCGAGGACCUUGCGUUUAUCAAAUACAGCUUCAAUUCUCUUAAAUCCUCUAUCUUGAAUAAAAUCCUCUUAAAUUGUGAGAUUCUUUCUCCUAAAGUCGUGGACUUAUUGCUCAAACUUGACUAUUUUAAGUAUGUUGCCUCACACAAGUCAGCAGCAACGGUGGCCAUGGCCUGGAGGAGGAAGAUAAUGGUUACUAUCACAAGCAAGACCAAGAGGACGGAGCUAUAAUAAUUUAUAUACAAAUGGUUAAUUUAUUUUAAUUCUUUUUUUGGUUUUCUAUAAAUUUUUUUAGGAGAAUUGGAUUGUGGUAUUUAAGAGAAAUUUAUGGAUUGUUAUUUUUUAGAAUUUGAUUUUCGAUGUUUAAGGCUUUUGAGACUAGAAAAAAAAGCAGAGAGAAAUAUAUUAGGAAAGCGAAAGGGAAGAGAGAGAAAGAAAGGAGGAUUGAAGGAGAGGGAGAGGGAGAAGAGAGUAAAGAGAAAAGAGAAGGAUAAAUGAUAAAGAAAGAGCGGAUUUAAAAGAUGAGGCGGUGGUGGCGGGCAAAAGUAGCGGUUCAUGUAGGCACUGGGAUCCAGUGAUGCUGAUGUUGGUGGUAAUGAUGGUUUGCGACGGAGGUUAAGCCAUCUGCGUAAGAGAGGCUUCUUCUCUAAACGCAUUAGAUUAAGGGUGACAAAGUCAUUUCAUUGUUUUUGCCAUGUUGCUCAAUUAUUUGUCCAUACAAUUGAUUUGCUGCCUGUCAACGUGACCGGUUCAAGAUA
Jatropha curcas is the source of this 1227-nucleotide long non-coding RNA. RefSeq lists it as uncharacterized. The record is from RefSeq and is a predicted model, not a curated record. NCBI's taxonomy places the organism in Eukaryota, Viridiplantae, Streptophyta, Magnoliopsida, Malpighiales, Euphorbiaceae.